Molecule: ribosomal RNA, 224 nt
Filed under: Corydalis nobilis
Lineage: Eukaryota; Viridiplantae; Streptophyta; Magnoliopsida; Ranunculales; Papaveraceae
Source: RNAcentral
CGCGCACCGAGUCGCCCCCAUCCCUCCCGUCAAAGGCGGCGGGAGCGGAGAAUGGCCCCCCGUGCCCUCGUGCGCGGCCAGCCCAAACAGAGGCCCCGGGAGGCCGACGUCACGAUCCGUGGUGGUUGUAAAAGACACGCCCCAGAAACCGGAUCCCGUGCACGCCGCGCCGCACCCCGGGCCACAGCGACCCCCGAGGUCCGUCCCCGGACGGCACCCACUCU